UAACUCGAUUGUGUAUUCGGUCUAUUCGAUGGACAAACAGUGAAGCUCACUGUAGGUUCGUCGAAUAGCCCGAACGCACAAUUGGUUUA
This 89-nucleotide microRNA precursor is filed under the name Picea abies (Norway spruce). RNAcentral describes it as "miR11490a stem-loop (pab-MIR11490a)". The record is from miRBase by way of RNAcentral. Lineage: Eukaryota; Viridiplantae; Streptophyta; Pinopsida; Pinales; Pinaceae.